Small nuclear RNA from Heterocephalus glaber (naked mole-rat), 101 nucleotides. Its record names the gene U2. It matches the Rfam family "U2 spliceosomal RNA". Rfam says of the family: U2 is a small nuclear RNA (snRNA) component of the spliceosome (involved in pre-mRNA splicing). Complementary binding between U2 snRNA (in an area lying towards the 5' end but 3' to hairpin I) and the branchpoint sequence (BPS) of the intron results the bulging out of an unpaired adenosine, on the BPS, which initiates a nucleophilic attack at the intronic 5' splice site, thus starting the first of two transesterification reactions that mediate splicing. The record is from Ensembl. Lineage: Eukaryota; Metazoa; Chordata; Mammalia; Rodentia; Bathyergidae.
AUCACUUCUUGGUCUUUUGGCUAAGAUAAAGUGUAGUAUCAGUUCUUAUCAUUUUGGACAUACAUAAUGACCACAUUCAUCUUAGGAAAUUUUUACUUCUC